RNAcentral lists this ribosomal RNA (253 nucleotides) under uncultured bacterium. RNAcentral's name for it is "partial 16S ribosomal RNA". It matches the Rfam family "Bacterial small subunit ribosomal RNA", at positions 524 to 776 of the family's 1533-position model. The record is from RNAcentral.
UACGUAGGGGGCGAGCGUUGUCCGGAGUUACUGGGCGUAAAGGGCAUGCAGGCGGUCGGACGCGUUUUGUGUGACAGCGGGUGGCUUAACUACCCGAGCAUGCGAAAGACGGUUGGACUUGAGGGCUCGAGAGGGACACGGAAUUCCGGGUGGAGUGGUGAAAUGCGUAGAGAUCCGGAGGAACACCGAAGGCGAAGGCAGUGUCCUGGCGAGUGACUGACGCUGAGGUGCGAAAGCCAGGGGAGCGAACGGG